UACGGAGGGGACUAGCGUUGUUCGGAAUUACUGGGCGUAAAGCGCGCGUAGGCGGAUUUGCAAGUCGGGGGUGAAAGCCCGAGGCUCAACCUCGGAACUGCCCUCGAUACUGCAAAUCUCGAGUCCGAGAGAGGUGAGUGGAAUUCCUAGUGUAGAGGUGAAAUUCGUAGAUAUUGGGAAGAACACCGGUGGCGAAGGCGGCCAACUGGACCACAACUGACGCUGAGGCGCGAAAGCGUGGGGAGCAAACAGG
Molecule: ribosomal RNA, 253 nt
Filed under: uncultured bacterium
Lineage: Bacteria
Description: partial 16S ribosomal RNA
Rfam family: Bacterial small subunit ribosomal RNA
Source: RNAcentral